GUCCAUGCCGUAAACGAUGUCUACUAGCCGUUGGUCUCUUUGAGGGAUUAGUGGCGCAGCUAACGCGAUAAGUAGACCGCCUGGGGAGUACGGUCGCAAGACUAAAACUCAAAUGAAUUGACGGGGGCCCGCACAAGCGGUGGAGCAUGUGGUUUAAUUCGAUGCAACGCGAAGAACCUUACCUGGUCUUGACAUAGUAAGAACUUUUCCAGAGAUGGAUUGGUGCCUUCGGGAACUUACAUACAGGUGCUGCAUGGCUGUCGU
Molecule: ribosomal RNA, 264 nt
Filed under: uncultured bacterium
Lineage: Bacteria
Description: partial 16S ribosomal RNA
Rfam family: Bacterial small subunit ribosomal RNA
Source: RNAcentral